This 914-nucleotide ribosomal RNA is filed under the name archaeon enrichment culture clone C4-48C-A. RNAcentral describes it as "bacterial SSU rRNA". It matches the Rfam family "Archaeal small subunit ribosomal RNA", at positions 1 to 922 of the family's 1478-position model. The record is from RNAcentral.
UCCGGUUGAUCCCGCCGGAGGCUACUGCUAUUGGAAUUCGACUAAGCCAUGCGAGUCAAGGUGUCUUCGGACGCCGGCAUACGGCUCAGUAACACGUAGGUAACCUACCCUCAGGACUGAGAUAACCCCGGGAAACUGGGGCUAAUAUUAGAUAGAUAAAAGAUACUGGAAUGUUCUUUUAUCCAAAGCUUUUGCGCCUGAGGAUGGGCCUGCGCCCGAUUAGGUUGUUGGUGGGGUAAUGGCCCACCAAGCCUACGAUCGGUACGGGCAGUGGGAGCUGAAGCCCGGAGUUGGGGACUGAGACAAGGCCCCAGGCCCUACGGGGCGCAGCAGGCGCGGAACCUCUGCAAUGCGGGAAACCGUGACAGGGGGAUUCCAAGUGCUCAUGCAUUGCAUGGGCUGUUCUUUGGUCUAAGUAACCAGAGGAGUAAGGGCUGGGCAAGACCGGUGCCAGCCGCCGCGGUAAUACCGGCAGCUCAAGUGGUAGCCGCGAUUAUUGGGCCUAAAACGUUCGUAGCCGGAUAAGUAAGUCUUUGGUUAAAUCCUGCGACUUAACCGUGGGAAAUCUAGAGAUACUGCUUGUCUUGAGACCGGGAGAGGUUGGAGGUACUCCCAGGGUAGGGGUGAAAUCCUGUAAUCCUGGGGGGACCACCUGUGGCGAAGGCGUCCAACUGGAACGGGUCUGACGGUGAGGGACGAAACCUAGGGGAGCGAGCCGGAUUAGAUACCCGGGUAGUCCUAGGCGUAAAUGAUGCGAGUUAAGUGUGGGGGCAUCCACGAGAUGGCCCUGUGCUGUAGGGUAGCCGUUAAACUCGCUGCCUGGGGAGUACGGUCGCAAGGCUGAAACUUAAAGGAAUUGGCGGGGGAGCACCACAAGAGGUGGAGGCUGCGGUUCAAUUGGAUUCAACGCCGGG